Molecule: non-coding RNA, 72 nt
Organism: Bos taurus (domestic cattle)
Lineage: Eukaryota; Metazoa; Chordata; Mammalia; Artiodactyla; Bovidae
Source: Rfam
UCCCUGGUAGUCCAGUGGUUAAGACUCUGCACUGCCCAUGCAGGGGGCUGGGGUUCAAUCCCUGGUUGGGAA